This 87-nucleotide transfer RNA is filed under the name Treponema sp. Its description in RNAcentral is "tRNA-Ser". It matches the Rfam family "tRNA". From Rfam's summary of the family: Transfer RNA (tRNA) molecules are approximately 80 nucleotides in length. Lineage: Bacteria; Pseudomonadati; Spirochaetota; Spirochaetia; Treponematales; Treponemataceae. The record is from RNAcentral.
GGAGCGGUGUCCGAGUGGCCGAAGGAGAUGGUUUCGAAAACCAUUGAGCCCGCGAGGGCUCCGGGGGUUCGAAUCCCCCCUGCUCCG